UACGAAGGGGGCUAGCGUUGCUCGGAAUCACUGGGCGUAAAGCGACCGCAGGCGGUCUGACAAGUCGGAUGUGAAAGCCCUGGGCUCAACUCAGGAAUUGCAUUCGAAACUGGCAGACUCGAGUACGGGAGAGGGGGGUGGAAUUCCUGGUGUAGGGGUGAAAUUCGUUGAUAUCAGGAGGAACACCGGCGGCGAAGGCGGCCCCCUGGCCCGCAACUGACGCUCAUGGUCGAAAGCGUGGGGAGCAAACAGG
This 253-nucleotide ribosomal RNA is filed under the name uncultured bacterium. RNAcentral's name for it is "partial 16S ribosomal RNA". It matches the Rfam family "Bacterial small subunit ribosomal RNA", at positions 524 to 776 of the family's 1533-position model. The record is from RNAcentral.